Monodelphis domestica (gray short-tailed opossum) is the source of this 1570-nucleotide long non-coding RNA. RefSeq lists it as uncharacterized. The record is from RefSeq and is a predicted model, not a curated record. Lineage: Eukaryota; Metazoa; Chordata; Mammalia; Didelphimorphia; Didelphidae.
CAAAGGGCAAAAUGAGGUGGGGAGAACUAGACGAUCCCCGUGGGAUCUUCUUGCACAUAGAGACCAGAAGAGCAGCCCAGGGUAGGGGGAACUGGGCUACAUUUGGAGUCUGAAGUUUUGUUCUUCUUCGGUCCUCUCCAUUUGGGGUUCUCUUGGCAGAGAUACUGGGGUGGCUUGCCAUUUCCUUCUCCAGCCCAUUUUACAGAUGAGGAAACUGAGGAAAAUGGGGCUAAGCAACUUGCCCAGGGUCACACGACUAGGAAGUGUCCGACAUCAUAUUUGAACUCAGUUCUUGCUGACUCCAGGUCCAGCAUUUUGCCAUUUCUCCACCUGUCUGCCCCAGGAGAUGCUUCAGAAAUGUGUACUGACAAAACAAUGGAACUGAGAGGGAUCCGAAUACUGCCCUCCAUCCUUACUGCAUGACCUGGGACCAGUCACUUAAGGCUCAAAGCCUUGGGACGCUCAUCUCCACCCCCCAAUGUAGGAGAGUUGGGGCGUCAGAAAUCAUCUUGGAGCAAAAAAGCCAACAGCAUCCAACUGGGCACCCGCGGGCUGAACCAGCCAGCCAAUGGCAGAUCUAUGCCUGGCAGGAUCUUUGGGACAAUCCGAGCCUCUGAACCCUCAUUUGAACAGAUGGGGACACUGAGGCUUAAGCUCAGAGAGAUGUAAGAGGUAAGAGAUGGAAAUUGAACCCAGGUCUUCUUGACUCCAGGAACUGAAAGGGAUUUUGGGGGGCGCCCCAAGUCCUCCUUCAUUUUACAGAUGAGGAAACUGAGGCUGAGAGACGUUUCUUACUGACCAGAAUUUAUCAUAUUUAUUUAUCAUCUGAAGCAGGACCUGAACUCAAGUCUACUAAGUUAUUUCCCCUCUCCAGGCUUCGGUUAUCUUUCGGUCUCAAAUGAAACGGCUGGACUAAAUGAUUGCCGGGUCAGUGAGUGGGGAUCAGGAAUCGGAUGACCUGCCUUCAAAUCUCUUUAUGAACUCGGACCCUGCCUUGCUAAGUGCCCUUGAGCCGCUCCAUCUCCACGAGCCUUCGCUUCGGGAAGGGGCUUCAAGGAGACGGCCCCGAAGGUCCCUUCCAGCCCCAACUCCAUGACGGUGUCUGGGAUCCCUUCUGGGAUAAAUCAAAAUCACAAAUCCACUGCUUCUCGGGGCACGUGGGGCUCGUGAUCAUCGGCUUCCCCCCUGCUCUCAGACCGCCAUUUUCAGACCAUUUCAUCUGCUCUCUUAAUCUCUAUUAAAUUUCCACUUCUCAGGAGGGGUCGGAAAAUGUCACUUUUGUAAGAAGAAACUGAUGUCCGAGACUCCCUCCCGAUCGCGGCAUUCUUCUAAUUCCUGCUCCCCCCCUUAGAUUAUGGCCCCCGGUAUCAUCGAGCCCAGCCUGACGGCAGGAGGGUAACUGGGACAUCACAAGAAGUGUGAAAAUGUCAGCCAGACAGACACAGGAGUGGCCGGGCAGGCCGGCUCAGGGCUCAGCUACUUAGGAUUCGUGGCACACUUGCCACUCAAAAUUCCGCCCCUUUGAGAAAUCCGACUUUAGUGGCAAGAAUAAAAGGGCGUUUACCUCCUU